GUGUUUGCUUUGGCAACACAUAUAUUAAAAUUGGAACAAUACAGAGGUUAGCAUGCCCCCUGCACAAAGAUCACAUGCAAAUUCAUGAAGUACUCCAUAUUUUU
This is a small nuclear RNA of Microtus ochrogaster (prairie vole), 104 nucleotides long. NCBI's taxonomy places the organism in Eukaryota, Metazoa, Chordata, Mammalia, Rodentia, Cricetidae. The record is from Ensembl.